AUGAAUCCCUUCACUAAAGUAAAGCUCAUCAAUGAGCUAAAUUAGUAGGAGCCCCCCAGCUUAAUAUGGUGCCUCAGAUGUCUUGGCCCUCCACUAGCAAGGACAGGCAGUAAAUCUUUCUCGAGGGUCUUGCUUAGAAAUUAACUGAACAGGUAUAUUAUGACCUAUUCUCACAAUAUGGAAAAAUAUUAACAUUAAUCUUGUAUGGAACAAGAAAUCUUGUAAAUCCAAAUUAUUCUCUUUUAUCAUUGCUUUGAAGUUCAGAAACAUGAUUCUGGCUGUUGUCAAGUUUAAUAGACUAAAGAUCAGAGGAAGAAUCACCUGAGUCAACCACAUACCUAACUAUGGGCCCCAUAAAAACAUAGAGACUAUGGAU
Molecule: long non-coding RNA, 376 nt
Filed under: Homo sapiens (human)
Lineage: Eukaryota; Metazoa; Chordata; Mammalia; Primates; Hominidae
Description: non-protein coding lnc-VWDE-9:1
Source: RNAcentral